Molecule: ribosomal RNA, 381 nt
Filed under: uncultured eukaryote
Lineage: Eukaryota
Description: partial 18S ribosomal RNA
Rfam family: Eukaryotic small subunit ribosomal RNA
Source: RNAcentral
CAAUAGCGUAUAUUAAAGCUGUUGCGGUUAAAAAGCUCGUAGUUGGAUUUCUGUCAAGGACAACUGGUCCGCCCUUCGGGUGAGCACAUAGUUUGGUCUUGGCAUCUUGUUGGAAACUGUUGCUGCACUUGGUUGUGUGGCGCAGCGUCCAGCACUUUCACUUUGAGGAAAUUGGAGUGUUUCAAGCAGGCACAUGCCUUUGGACACAGUAGCAUGGAAUAAUUAGAUUGGGCUUUUGCUCCAACUUGUCGGUUUCUGGAGCUGAGGUGAGAAUUAAUGGGGAUUGUUGGGGGCAUCCGAAUUUAGCCGUCAGAGGUGAAAUUCUUGGAUCUGCUAAAGACGGACAACUGCGGAAGCGUUUGCCCAGGAUGUUUUCAUUGA